UAUCACUAAAAGCUUUUUUAAAAAAUAACAUAGAUACUAAUAGAAAAGAUAUUUUUACAAAAAAAUGGACAAAAUUUUUGUAAAGUAACUUUUGAUUAGUUGAAAUUUCUACUUUGGUAGAAAUAAUGUCAUCAACGACAACUGUACAAAUUAAUAUGAUUUAAAUAUACUCCACCACAGUCCCAAAAAUUAUCAAAGCUGAGAAAUCCAUAAGCGCAACAACGUUAUCCCAACUUUUGUAGAGCUUGAGGAACUUGUGAUACCAUGAAAAUCUUCAUAAAUGAACUCAUUUUACUCGAUGAUGCUUUAAUUGGUUAAAGUUAAAAGACUGCCAAAAGAUCAUUUUCUCAUCAAAUACAAAAAGAAAAUAAAAGUGUAGCUAUGAACGACAUGAAAAACCAUAUUAUCAAACCUCACAUCUUUCAAGUUCUUAAGAUUCAUGUAUCCCUCAAGUUCCUCAAAAUGAACUUCUCAACAUCUCGUAUGAUUAGAAUCAACGGCUCCUUU
This 507-nucleotide long non-coding RNA is filed under the name Physcomitrium patens. Its description in RNAcentral is "long non-coding RNA (PPAT_LNC011137)". Lineage: Eukaryota; Viridiplantae; Streptophyta; Bryopsida; Funariales; Funariaceae. The record is from RNAcentral.